RNAcentral lists this ribosomal RNA (468 nucleotides) under uncultured bacterium. Its description in RNAcentral is "partial 16S ribosomal RNA". It matches the Rfam family "Bacterial small subunit ribosomal RNA", at positions 28 to 507 of the family's 1533-position model. The record is from RNAcentral.
GAUGAACGCUGGCGGCGUGCUUAACACAUGCAAGUCGAACGGAAAGGCGCUGCUUUUGCGGGGUGCUCGAGUGGCGAACGGGUGUGUAACACGUGAGUAUCCUGCCCUUGACUUUGGGAUAACUUCAGGAAACUGGGGCUAAUACCGGAUAGGAGAUCCUGCAGCAUGGGGGUGGUUGGAAAGUUUCGGCUGUUGGGGAUGGACUCGCGGUUUAUGAGCUGGUUGGUGGAGUAGUGGCUUACGAAGGCUUCGACGGCUAGCCCGCAUUGGAGCGUGAACAGGCACCUUAGGACUAAGGUAGGGCGCAGUCUGCAACGGGAGGCAGCGGUGGAAAGUAUUACGCAGCGAGGCGAAGCGUGUUGUGAAGGCCCUGCGAGCGGAAAGACGGCCUUCGGGUUAUGAACCGCUUUAACCUGUGACGAAGCGUGAUUGACGGUAAUGAGUAAAGAAGCACCGGCUAACUACGUG